UAUUAAAAACUGGUUGCUAAAAUGAAGGAUAUAAUCUCUUCAGUGUUUCUUUUAAAAAACCCAAACAGACAAGCCCCAACUGAUGAAAUGCACAAGGGAUUGGAGGGAGUAGAGACUUAAGAAGGCAAAAGGAGUUUUCCAAGAGGACAGGACUGUGCAUGUGUUCAGAGCCCAUAAAAGAAAUUCUUUUCUCAGGCCUGUGUCUGAGAAUAGGCCAAGGACAAUGAGAAAGACGGUGAAGAUUCUUAAAUCUCAUCACUUUCUGUGGUUUCUUAAAAGCAAACAACAACAAAAAAAAUCCCAAACCCAAUAACACACAGAAACAUGGGCAAGUACCACAAAAAUGUCUACUGCAGAACAGGGAUGUGACCUCAAGAACAGCCUUGAUGUUGUUUGAAGCACAAGCCUCAGGAUGCUGUGAAGCAGCUCCAGACUGACAGAACCACAGAAUCAGUUCAGUUGGAAAAGACCUCU
This 474-nucleotide long non-coding RNA is filed under the name Geospiza fortis (medium ground-finch). Its description in RNAcentral is "lncRNA (ENSGFOG00000001272.1)". Lineage: Eukaryota; Metazoa; Chordata; Aves; Passeriformes; Thraupidae. The record is from RNAcentral.